Molecule: transfer RNA, 77 nt
Filed under: Bos taurus (domestic cattle)
Lineage: Eukaryota; Metazoa; Chordata; Mammalia; Artiodactyla; Bovidae
Also listed under: 5 other names
Rfam family: tRNA
About the family: Transfer RNA (tRNA) molecules are approximately 80 nucleotides in length.
Source: Rfam by way of RNAcentral
UCCCUCAUGGUCCAGUGGCUAAGACUCUGCACUCCCAAUCAAUGCAGGGGACCCAGGUUCAAUUCCUGGUCGGGGAA